UCUCCGUUGGUGAACCAGCGGAGGGAUCAUUACCGAGUUUACAACUCCCAAACCCAAUGUGAACCAUACCAAACUGUUGCCUCGGCGGGGUCACGCCCCGGGUGCGUCGCAGCCCCGGAACCAGGCGCCCGCCGGAGGGACCAACCAAACUCUUUCUGUAGUCCCCUCGCGGACGUUAUUUUUACAGCUCUGAGCAAAAAUUCAAAAUGAAUCAAAACUUUCAACAACGGAUCUCUUGGUUCUGGCAUCGACGAAGAACGCAGC
This 264-nucleotide unclassified non-coding RNA is filed under the name plant metagenome. Its description in RNAcentral is "partial contains small subunit ribosomal RNA, internal transcribed spacer 1, and 5.8S ribosomal RNA". The stretch from base 216 to 264 matches the Rfam family "5.8S ribosomal RNA", at positions 1 to 49 of the family's 154-position model. The record is from RNAcentral.